UGCGAUAAGUAAACAUCCAUUGAAAUGAAAGAAUAAGUUAUUCUAAGUGCAAUAAAAGUAAACUCGCAAUUCAUCGAGUGUUAUAGAAAUGAAAAACCCAAUACAAACAUAGCUUUGUUAUUAAGCUUCAAGACAUAAGCCCAUGGAAGCUUGUUAAGAAAACUAAGGCGAGCCUAGUUCUAUUCAAUUUGAUUAAGCUAAG
This 202-nucleotide long non-coding RNA is filed under the name Eucalyptus grandis. Its description in RNAcentral is "long non-coding RNA (EGRA_LNC007778)". The record is from RNAcentral. Lineage: Eukaryota; Viridiplantae; Streptophyta; Magnoliopsida; Myrtales; Myrtaceae.